AGAGUUCGAUUCUGGCUCAGGACGAACGCUGGCGGCGUGCUUAACACAUGCAAGUCGAACGGAAAGGCCCUGCUUUUGUGGGGUGCUCGAGUGGCGAACGGGUGAGUAACACGUGAGUAACCUGCCCUUGACUUUGGGAUAACUUCAGGAAACUGGGGCUAAUACCGGAUAGGAGCUCCUGCUGCAUGGUGGGGGUUGGAAAGUUUCGGCGGUUGGGGAUGGACUCGCGGCUUAUCAGCUUGUUGGUGGGGUAGUGGCUUACCAAGGCUUUGACGGGUAGCCGGCCUGAGAGGGUGACCGGCCACAUUGGGACUGAGAUACGGCCCAG
Molecule: ribosomal RNA, 328 nt
Filed under: uncultured bacterium
Lineage: Bacteria
Description: bacterial SSU rRNA
Rfam family: Bacterial small subunit ribosomal RNA
Source: RNAcentral